Molecule: ribosomal RNA, 491 nt
Filed under: uncultured bacterium
Lineage: Bacteria
Description: partial 16S ribosomal RNA
Rfam family: Bacterial small subunit ribosomal RNA
Source: RNAcentral
AGUGAACGCUGGCGGUAGGCCUAGCACAUGCAAGUCGAACGGCAGCACAGUAAGAGCUUGCUCUUACGGGUGGCGAGUGGCGGACGGGUGAGGAAUACAUCGGAAUCUACUUUUUCGUGGGGGAUAACGUAGGGAAACUUACGCUAAUACCGCAUACGACCUACGGGUGAAAGCAGGGGAUCUUCGGACCUUGCGCGAUUGAAUGAGCCGAUGUCGGAUUAGCUAGUUGGCGGGGUAAAGGCCCACCAAGGGGACGCUCCGUAGCUGGUCUGAGAGGAUGAUCAGCCACACUGGAACUGAGACACGGGCCAGAGUCACACGCGAGGCAGCAGUGGGGAAUAUCGGACACAGGGCGAAAGCCUGAUCUAGCCAUACCGCGUGGGUGAAGAAGGCCCUCGGGUUGUAAAGCCCUUUUGUUGGGAAAGAAAAGCAGCAGGUUAAUACCCCGCUGUUCAGACGGGACCCAAAGAAUAAGCACCGGCUAACUUCGU